AGUAACACGUGGGAAUAUACCCUUCACUAUGGAAUAGCCUCGGGAAACUGAGAGUAAUACCAUAUACGCCCUUCGGGGGAAAGAUUUAUCGGUGAAGGAUUAGCCCGCGUAAGAUUAGAUAGUUGGUGGGGUAAUGGCCUACCAAGCCUACGAUCUUUAGCUGGUUUGAGAGGAUGAUCAGCAACACUGGGACUGAGACACGGCCCAGACUCCUACGGGAGGCAGCAGUGGGGAAUCUUAGACAAUGGGCGCAAGCCUGAUCUAGCCAUGCCGCGUGAGUGACGAAGGUCUUAGGAUCGUAAGGCUCUUUCGCCAGAGAUGAUAAUGACAGUAUCUGGUAAAGAAACCCCGGCUAACUCCGUGCCAGCAGCCGCGGCAAUACGGAGGGGGUUAGCGUUGUUCGGAAUUACUGGGCGUAAAGCGUACGUAGGCGGGUUGGAAAGUAGGGGGUGAAAUCCCAGGGCUCAACCCUGGAACUGCCUCCUAAACUAUCAGUCUAGAGUUCGAGAGAGGUGAGUGGAAUUCCAAGUGUAGAGGUGAAAUUCGUAGAUAUUUGGAGGAACACCAGUGGCGAAGGCGGCUCACUGGCUCGAUACUGACGCUGAGGUACGAAAGUGUGGGGAGCAAACAGGAUUAGAUACCCUGGUAGUCCACACCGUAAACGAUGAAUGCCAGUCGUCGGGGAGCUUGCUCUUCGGUGACACACCUAACGGAUUAAGCAUUCCGCCUGGGGAGUACGGUCGCAAGAUUAAAACUCAAAGGAAUUGGCGGGGG
RNAcentral lists this ribosomal RNA (774 nucleotides) under uncultured bacterium. Its description in RNAcentral is "bacterial SSU rRNA". It matches the Rfam family "Bacterial small subunit ribosomal RNA", at positions 109 to 919 of the family's 1533-position model. The record is from RNAcentral.